GAUGAACGCUGGCGGCGUGCCUAAUACAUGCAAGUCGAGCGAACGGACGAGAAGCUUGCUUUUCUGAUGUUAGCGGCGGACGGGUGAGUAACACGUGGAUAACCUACCUAUAAGACUGGGAUAACUUCGGGAAACCGGAGCUAAUACCGGAUAAUAUUUUGAACCGCAUGGUUCAAAAGUGAAAGACGGUCUUGCUGUCACUUAUAGAUGGAUCCGCGCUGCAUUAGCUAGUUGUUAAGGUAACGGCUUACCAAGGCAACGAUGCAUAGCCGACCUGAGAGGGUGAUAGCCCACACUGGAACUGAGACACGGUCCAGACUCCUACGGGAGGCAGCAGUAGGGAAUCUUCCGCAGUGGGCGAAAGCCUGACGGAGCAGCGCCGCGUGAGUGAUGAAGGUCUUCGGAUCGUAAAACUCUGUUAUUAGGGAAGAACAUAUGUGUAAGUAACUGUGCACAUCUUGACGGUACCUAAUCAGAAAGCCACGGCUAACUACGUG
Molecule: ribosomal RNA, 497 nt
Filed under: uncultured bacterium
Lineage: Bacteria
Description: partial 16S ribosomal RNA
Rfam family: Bacterial small subunit ribosomal RNA
Source: RNAcentral